Molecule: ribosomal RNA, 506 nt
Filed under: uncultured bacterium
Lineage: Bacteria
Description: bacterial SSU rRNA
Rfam family: Bacterial small subunit ribosomal RNA
Source: RNAcentral
GACGAACGCUGGCGGCGUGGAUUAGGCAUGCAAGUCGAACGGUAUCAUCCUUUCGGGGGUGAGAGAGUGGCGAACUGGUGAGUAACACGUAGGUUAUCUACCCUCAAGACGGGGACAACCCAGGGAAACUUGGGCUAAUACCGGAUGUGAGCAACUUUUAGUUGUUUGAAAGGUGGCGUAAGCUGUCGCUUGGGGAUGAGCCUGCGUCCUAUUAGUUAGUUGGUGAGGUAACGGCUCACCUAGGCAAUGAUAGGUAGGCGGCCUUAACGGGUGGUCGCCCACACUGGGAUUGAGAUACGGCCCAGACUCCUACGGGAGGCAGCAGUCGAGAAUAGUCUACAAUGGUCGGAAGACUGAUAGUGCGACGCCGCGUGAACGAUGAAUCCCUUCGGGGUGUAAAGUUCUUUUAUAUGUGAGCAGUGCUUCUUAUAUUAACAGUAUGGGGAGAGAGAUAUUAGCAUAUGAAUAAGCAACGGCUAACUCCGUGCCAGCAGCCGACGGUAAUC